This 253-nucleotide ribosomal RNA is filed under the name uncultured bacterium. RNAcentral describes it as "partial 16S ribosomal RNA". It matches the Rfam family "Archaeal small subunit ribosomal RNA", at positions 474 to 727 of the family's 1478-position model. The record is from RNAcentral.
UACCUGCAGCCCAAGUGGUGGUCGAUUUUAUUGAGUCUAAAGCGUUCGUAGCCGGUUUGAUAAAUCUUUGGGUAAAUCGGGAAGCUUAACUUUCCGACUUCCGGAGAGACUGUCAAACUUGGGACCGGGAGAGGCUAGAGGUACUUCUGGGGUAGGGGUAAAAUCCUGUAAUCCUAGAAGGACCACCGGUGGCGAAGGCGUCUAGCUAGAACGGAUCCGACGGUGAGGGACGAAGCCCUGGGUCGCAAACGGG